Molecule: long non-coding RNA, 151 nt
Organism: Ctenopharyngodon idella (grass carp)
Lineage: Eukaryota; Metazoa; Chordata; Actinopteri; Cypriniformes; Xenocyprididae
Exons: 2
Source: RefSeq, a predicted model, not a curated record
UGUCCGAAUAGGUUGGCUCGCCAUCAAAGAAAAUCAAUCUCCCCUCAGGAAAAAAACCUGACCUGUUUAAAAGGUCAGAAAUGCAUGACUGCAUUUAGUCAACAAUAGCAUCACAUCAGGCACGUGUAUAUUACCCCGACAUGCACGUGAA